Molecule: transfer RNA, 73 nt
Organism: Trichosporon asahii var. asahii CBS 8904
Lineage: Eukaryota; Fungi; Basidiomycota; Tremellomycetes; Trichosporonales; Trichosporonaceae
Rfam family: tRNA
About the family: Transfer RNA (tRNA) molecules are approximately 80 nucleotides in length. Their secondary structure includes four short double-helical elements and three loops (D, anti-codon, and T loops). Further hydrogen bonds mediate the characteristic L-shaped molecular structure. tRNAs have two regions of fundamental functional importance: the anti-codon, which is responsible for specific mRNA codon recognition, and the 3' end, to which the tRNAs corresponding amino acid is attached (by aminoacyl-tRNA synthetases). tRNAs cope with the degeneracy of the genetic code in two manners: having more than one tRNA (with a specific anti-codon) for a particular amino acid; and 'wobble' base-pairing, i.e. permitting non-standard base-pairing at the 3rd anti-codon position.
Source: Rfam
GAGCCUAUAGUAUAAUUGGUUAGUACUCACUGUUGAUAUCGGUGUAGCAGAAGUUCGAAUCUUCUUGGGCUUA